Molecule: ribosomal RNA, 253 nt
Filed under: uncultured prokaryote
Description: partial 16S ribosomal RNA
Rfam family: Bacterial small subunit ribosomal RNA
Source: RNAcentral
ACAGAGGGGGCAAGCGUUAUUCGGAAUUAUUGGGCGUAAAGGGCGCGUAGGCGGCUUUGCAAGUGGCGGGUGAAAUCCCUCGGCUUAACCGAGGAACUGCCUGCCAGACUGUGAGGCUUGAGACCGGGAGAGGUGAGUGGAAUUCCCAGUGUAGCGGUGAAAUGCGUAGAUAUCAGGAAGAACACCCGUGGCGAAAGCGGCUCUCUGGAACGGUACUGACGCUGAGACGCGAAAGCGUGGGGAGCGAACAGGA